UGGAAUAGGACGUGUGGUUCUAUUUUGUUGGUUUCUAGGACCGCCGUAAUGAUUAAUAGGGACAGUCGGGGGCAUCAGUAUUCAAUUGUCAGAGGUGAAAUUCUUGGAUUUAUUGAAGACUAACUACUGCGAAAGCAUUUGCCAAGGAUGUUUUCAUUAAUCAGGAACGAAAGUUAGGGGAUCGAAGACGAUCAGAUACCGUCGUAGUCUUAACCAUAAACUAUGCCGACUAGGGAUCGGACGAUGUUAUUUUUUGACGCGUUCGGCACCUUACGAGAAAUCAAAGUGCUUGGGCUCCAGGGGGAGUAUGGUCGCAAGGCUGAAACUUAAAGAAAUUGACGGAAGGGCACCACCAGGGGUGGAGCCUGCGGCUUAAUUUGACUCAACACGGGGAAACUCACCAGGUCCAGACACAAUGAGGAUUGACAGAUUGAGAGCUCUUUCUUGAUUUUGUGGGUGGUGGUGCAUGGCCGUUCUUAGUUGGUGGAGUGAUUUGUCUGCUUAAUUGCGAUAACGAACGAGACCUUAACCUGCUAAAUAGCCCGUAUUGCUUUGGCAGUACGCUGGCUUCUUAGAGGGACUAUCGGCUCAAGCCGAUGGAAGUUUGAGGCAAUAACAGGUCUGUGAUGCCCUUAGAUGUUCUGGGCCGC
Molecule: ribosomal RNA, 650 nt
Filed under: uncultured fungus
Lineage: Eukaryota; Fungi
Description: SSU rRNA
Rfam family: Eukaryotic small subunit ribosomal RNA
Source: RNAcentral